GAUGAACGCUGGCGGCGUGCCUAAUACAUGCAAGUCGAGCGAACAGACGAGGAGCUUGCUCCUCUGACGUUAGCGGCGGACGGGUGAGUAACACGUGGAUAACCUACCUAUAAGACUGGGAUAACUUCGGGAAACCGGAGCUAAUACCGGAUAAUAUAUUGAACCGCAUGGUUCAAUAGUGAAAGACGGUUUUGCUGUCACUUAUAGAUGGAUCCGCGCCGCAUUAGCUAGUUGGUAAGGUAACGGCUUACCAAGGCAACGAUGCGUAGCCGACCUGAGAGGGUGAUCGGCCACACUGGAACUGAGACACGGUCCAGACUCCUACGGGAGGCAGCAGUAGGGAAUCUUCCGCAAUGGGCGAGAGCCUGACGGAGCAACGCCGCGUGAGUGAUGAAGGUCUUCGGAUCGUAAAGCUCUGUUAUUAGGGAAAAACAAAUGUGUAAGUAACUAUGCACGUCUUGACGGUACCUGAUCAGAAAGCCACGGCUAACUACGUG
Molecule: ribosomal RNA, 497 nt
Filed under: uncultured bacterium
Lineage: Bacteria
Description: partial 16S ribosomal RNA
Rfam family: Bacterial small subunit ribosomal RNA
Source: RNAcentral